Molecule: ribosomal RNA, 511 nt
Filed under: uncultured bacterium
Lineage: Bacteria
Description: bacterial SSU rRNA
Rfam family: Bacterial small subunit ribosomal RNA
Source: RNAcentral
AACGCUGGCGGCGUGCUUAACACAUGCAAGUCGAACGAGAAAGCCUGGCUUGCCAGGCAAGUAAAGUGGCGCACGGGUGAGUAACGCGUGGGUAAUCUACCCUUGUCUGGGGGGAUAACAUACCGAAAGGUGUGCUAAUACCGCAUAACGUGGUCGAAUCGCGAUUUGAUCACCAAAGAAGGCCUCUCCUUGGAAGCUUUCGGAUGAAGAUGAGCCCGCGUCCCAUUAGCUAGUUGGUAAGGUAAAGGCUUACCAAGGCUACGAUGGGUAGCUGGUCUGAGAGGAUGGCCAGCCACACUGGAACUGGAACACGGUCCAGACUCCUACGGGAGGCAGCAGUGAGGAAUCUUGCGCAAUGGGGGCAACCCUGACGCAGCAACGCCGCGUGAGUGAAGAAGGCCUUCGGGUCGUAAAGCUCUGUCAAGUGGGAAGAAUAGCUUUAAGACGAAUAAUCUUAAGGUAUGACGGUACCACUGGAGGAAGCACCGGCUAACUCCGUGCCAGCCGCCGC